RNAcentral lists this ribosomal RNA (476 nucleotides) under uncultured soil bacterium. Its description in RNAcentral is "bacterial SSU rRNA". It matches the Rfam family "Bacterial small subunit ribosomal RNA", at positions 26 to 518 of the family's 1533-position model. The record is from RNAcentral.
AGGACGAACGCUGGCGGCGUGCUUAACACAUGCAAGUCGAACGAGACCCCUUCUUCGGUUGGGUGUUCUAGUGGCGAACGGGUGAGUAACACGUGGGCAACCUGCCCCCGGCUCUGGGAUAACUCCAAGAAAUUGGGGCUAAUACCGGAUAUGACCGCUGACCGCAUGGUCUGGUGGUGGAAAGUUUUUUCGGCUGGGGAUGGGCCCGCGGCCUAUCAGCUUGUUGGUGGGGUAUGGCCCUACCAAGGCGACGACGGGUAGCCGGCCUGAGAGGGUGACCGGCCACGACUGGGACUGAGACACGGCCCAGACCCCUACGGGAGGCAGCAGUGGGGAAUAUUGCGCAAUGGGCGAAGCCUGACGCAGCGACGCCGCGUGGGGGAUGACGGCCGUUCGGGUUGUAACGUCUUUCAGCAGGACGAAGCGAAGUGACGGUACUGCAGAAGAAGCACGCCAACUACGUGACCAGCAGCCGC